CUGUUGGUCAUUGCAUAAUCAAACGGGCCUUCAGUCCAAAAUAGGGAAUAGCACCCGCUUUCGUUGAGCAUCGAAUUUGAACUCGACUCACACAGAAACCGUGACGCAAACCGCAAUGGCUGCUAGGCACAUUCUGCUUCACCGCCUUCGGUGGCGUAGCUUCCAAGGGUCCACCGCGGCGGCACCUCAGAGCCACCGUCUAUGGUGCAGUGCCACGUCAUCACCGGAAGAACCAAACUCGAACGCAAGUUGCGGGACCCACACCUGCAGCCAGGAAUACCUCGAGUGGAAGGAGAAAGAAGAGAAGAUCGUGAGGGACAUUCAACCAAUCGUUUCGCUAACCAGGAACAUUCUCUACUCGCCAAGGUACAUGAACGGGGAGCAUUUGAGUAUGGAGGACGAAAGAGCCGUGGUGGAGAACGUUCUCAUUUACCAUCCGCAUUAUGAAGAUAAAAUCGGAAGUGGCUUGAACUCCAUUAUGGUUAUCACUCGUAGUUUUACUAGUGCACAAAAGACUGAGGUGAUAGAGCUUUGUGGAGUUGUUCCCUGUGGCUGAGUCUAUGAUAUCAUGACUGGGUAGUGACCAAUGAGAAGUUAAGCGUUAGAACUCUGAUCACGCACAAAAAAACAGAAAUGAAAUGAUCAACAAAAGAGAGCAGAGACCUGUGCUGCAAACCACAAAAUGAAAGGCAAGACUGCAACUCAAUGGACAUGUAGAACAGAGAACUCUGAGUGAAAAUUGAAAAUGGGGCCUAUGAAGCUCGGAUACUUAGUACGACACAGGUACAGCACUGAUACUUUUCCAUUUUUUGAAGUACUUGGGCUUCAUAUACAACACAGUGGGCAGAGCAGAGAAAUUGAGCAAUGAGCUUAACCAGAAAAUGCCUAGUUUGGCUGGAACUAUUCUAGCGAGUAGUGAGUUGAAGGGCUUUUGUCCAAACAGAGGAGAGACCUGAAAUGACCAGGCUAGCAGUGAAAAGUGAGGAAUUUGAAGGAAAAAGGUGAAUAUCCAUGACUUGCAAAUGAAGUUAACAGAGUUAGUUGGAUCAAGUAAGAAAUUGGGGAAUGAUCCAUAAAUCAAAGGGGAUUAAAGGUCCACUUGUAGAAAGGUCCUAAACUAUUCUGUAUAUAAAAACAGGUUGAUCAUCAUCCCUUAUAUUUAUACCCAAGGUGCCUUUUUGUUGUAAGAACUGAUGGUAGCUGGAUCGACUUCUCCUAUCGGGUGUGCCUUGAGGAAUACAUUAAAAAUAAGUACCAAAUAAGUGCUGAAAGGUUUGUUAAUAAAAGGUUUCUUAAAAAUCUUAUUAAGCAUUGGGGUAUUUGAUAUGUAUGUAUUAGAACAUACAAUUUGUGAAGUAUAUGAUAGUUGAUAACAAUUGACCGGGUUAUCUAGCUUAUUUGUGAACGGAACAGAGAAAUGAAUUGAAGUCAACUUGCCUUUUGUUAAGUUGCGGAACACUUUGCUUUGUAGAAAUUCAUGAAUAGGUAACUUGGAGAUAGCAAGGAAUGAUGUUUUUGUUGA
Non-coding RNA from Cajanus cajan (pigeon pea), 1522 nucleotides. Lineage: Eukaryota; Viridiplantae; Streptophyta; Magnoliopsida; Fabales; Fabaceae. The record is from RefSeq and is a predicted model, not a curated record.